This 119-nucleotide ribosomal RNA is filed under the name Pteropus alecto (black flying fox). Lineage: Eukaryota; Metazoa; Chordata; Mammalia; Chiroptera; Pteropodidae. The record is from RNAcentral.
GUCUACUGCAAUCCUACUUUGAACAAGCCCGAUUCUGUCUGAUCUUGGAAACUAAGCAGGGUCGGGCCUGGUUAGUUCUUAGAUGGGAGACCACCUAGGAAGACCAGGUGCUGUAGGCG